This 460-nucleotide ribosomal RNA is filed under the name uncultured bacterium. RNAcentral describes it as "partial 16S ribosomal RNA". It matches the Rfam family "Bacterial small subunit ribosomal RNA", at positions 338 to 795 of the family's 1533-position model. The record is from RNAcentral.
CCUACGGGUGGCAGCAGUGAGGAAUAUUGGUCAAUGGGCGCGAGCCUGAACCAGCCAAGUAGCGUGAAGGAUGACUGCCCUACGGGUUGUAAACUUCUUUUAUAAAGGAAUAAAGUUAGGCACGUGUGCCUUUUUGUAUGUACUUUAUGAAUAAGGCUCGGCCUACUCCGGGCCAGCAGCCGCGGUAAUACGGAGGAUCCGAGCGUUCUCCGGAUUUAUUGGGUUUUAAGGGAGCGUAAAUGGGUUGUUAAGUCAGGUGUGAAAGUUUGCGGGUCAAACGUAAAAUUGCAAUUGAUACUGGCAGCCUUGAGUACAGUUGAGGUAGGCGGAAUUCGUGGUGUAGCGGUGAAAUGCUUAGAUAUCACGAAGAACUCCGAUUGCGAAGGCAGCAUACUAAACUGCCACUGACAUUGAGGCUCGAAAGUGUGGGUAUCAAACAGGAUUAGAUACCCCAGUAGUC